UGGGAUGAGCUUCAGGUGAACUUCAGGAUGUUUAAAGCGCUGCUUCACUUCUGAGCUGAACUGAGAGGGAUCAUGGCGGCAGUGGGAGCGGAGGUCAGCGGCCUCCUGACGUCAGGCGUCUUCGGUUUCUUCCUCCUCCUCCUCCUCCUCUCCAUCUUCCUCACGGCUCUGUGCAGUGAGUGCAGCAGACGUUCAUUUGAGCUGCGAGACUCCACGGCGGACAGAGAGCCUUCAUCGCUCAUCAGAGUGGUGAAGCUGGAGGACGCCAUGGUGGCGAGAGAGAAUCCGAUGAUCGGUGAAAUCCAAUACGAUGAAAAAGAGUUUAACCCCAGUGAAGGCAGCACAGUGUCCGUCAGUCCGUGGAGGAGCCACUUGGGGGAGCUGCAGAACCACCAGGAUGUUCAGACCAAUGGCAGUGCAGUGAAGACAGAAAGUGAUUCUGAAAGUGCUAAAGAGUCUAAUCCUGAAGAAGAAACCUCCACCUCGUUCACGCUGUGGAGGAGCCACCUGCACAGAGAUGUGCACAGCCCCCCCCCUCCAGACCACAUCUACCACACCAUCGGAGGAGGAGGAGGAGGAGGAGGAGGAGGAGGACGGAGCCGCAGCGAUGCUGACCUGUCAUCAGCACCGACCAAUCAGGAGCCAGGAGAGGAGCGCUCUGCAGCGGCGGGGGAACCCAUCGACAGGAACUCGGUGUAUGCACAAGUCAGCAAGAAGGCGAGGCCGACCACCCCCCCCGCUCACACACCUGAGGAGGCGGCGGAGCAGGAAGAGUCUUCACCUCCGCUGCCCGACAGGAAGUCACAGCUGGAGGACGAGCGACAUAAAGACUAAAGAUGAAGGACAACAGAAUGAAUGACAAAAGAAUGAAACAAUAACAAGAAGAACACAUAGUAUCCAAACACACUCCGCUGAAUCAGCACGAGAAGUUAUGGAAGAGUUGCAGUGAAAUACAACAUAUUGUAAUUCACAUUUCCUUUUAUGAUGCUUUUACUUAUUUACAUGAAAAGAUGAACAAUUAUUGAGUUUUUACUGUUUUUUUUCUGUGUUGAGAUUAAUUAUGACACCAUAAAAGCAUAAAAGAGGGAACAUUUGGAAACUUUAAUAAAAUAUGUUUUACUGUAAAAAAAAUAUCUUUCUCUCAAACUCUUUCCCAGAAUGCAACAGGGAACAACAGGCGAUACAAGUGAAAAGCAUCUCUUAUGCUGUCAGACUGCACGCGUCUUCCAGCUCCCACGUCUCGUUUGUGCUCGCCAUAGUGACCGACUGGCACGACAGAGUUGAGCUAACCUCAGCACAUGUUGCUAACGGCUGAAACAGCCGUAAUGCAGACAAACAAAGGAAAUAUACUUCAUUGUUUUGUUUCAUUCAAGCGUUUUAAAUCUUCCAUACGACUCAAACAAAUAAAAAACAGAUCUGAGACUUCCUGACUUUUAGUCCUCAGUUAGAGGUUGAACUCCAGAAACACUGGAUUCUACAUUUCCCAUAAUGCAACUGGACAGUGUCUUUGAUUAGAGCCGAAACAGCCACAUCUUUCAAAC
RNAcentral lists this long non-coding RNA (1541 nucleotides) under Cottoperca gobio. RNAcentral describes it as "lncRNA (ENSCGOG00000003236.1)". Lineage: Eukaryota; Metazoa; Chordata; Actinopteri; Perciformes; Bovichtidae. The record is from RNAcentral.